UUUUUUUCAGCACCAAAAUUUGAAUUUAACUUUUGUAUCAAUCAUAUAAGGCAUGUUUGUUUCAACGUAAGUAGACUUGCGAUGGAAGUGAACUUUGGGUUGAAGUGGAGUUCGGGUAAUAAAUUAAUUCACUUCUGCUAUUUGUUUCUAACUGUGGAAGUGCAAUUCAGCGAGUUCUGUUGUUUGUUUGGUUGGAAGUAGAUGACGUAAAAAGUAUAGCUCUUCACUCCCGGUAUACUUACCUCCGAAGUGAUAUCAUUGUUUAUUUUGUAACUUAGUGAAUAAUAAAUUAUAAUAAAUAAAAAUUAAUAUAAUUAUAUAUGCAUAUAAUAUUAUAUAUGUAUGAUUAUAAAAUAAAAUUUUACAAAAUCUGAUUAUUUGUUUGCAUAUAAAUUAUAAUAAUACAACAAAUAAAAUUAUAAAGUUAAAAAAUUAUUAACAUUUAACAAAUUCAUUUUUCAUCAUUUUCAAAAUAUACAAAUUAAACAAAAAAUAUAUUAAAACUUACCUUACCAAAUUUGAUCAUAUUUUAAGCAUACAAUCAAAAUAAAAAAUUUAAUUACUUCUACAAUUGAAUAUAUUUGGAGUUAGGUCUAGAACUCGGGAGAGGAAAGAGUAGAGAAGAGGGUAACCUUAACCCUAACACAUUAAUUCCCACUCUUGUCUCUUUUUACCUCACCGAAAUUGACUUCGUCCCAUGGGAGGGGGAAGUCAAUUUUAUUAUUUUGGGUGAACUAGACUUUCGGGCGUAAUAAAAUUAUGAUGAACCAAACAACGGAAGUGGUCUAUUUUCACCGAAAAUUACUUCUCCUUUCCACUUCCACCCCACUUUCGUACAAAUAAACAGGCCCAUAGUGUGUCUAUAUACCAACCAAAAAUAUUU
Molecule: long non-coding RNA, 883 nt
Filed under: Ananas comosus (pineapple)
Lineage: Eukaryota; Viridiplantae; Streptophyta; Magnoliopsida; Poales; Bromeliaceae
Description: long non-coding RNA (ACOM_LNC022749)
Source: RNAcentral